AAGCCAGCUUGACUGCGAGCGUGACGGCGCGAGCAGGUGCGAAAGCAGGUCAUAGUGAUCCGGUGGUUCUGAAUGGAAGGGCCAUCGCUCAACGGAUAAAAGGUACUCCGGGGAUAACAGGCUGAUACCGCCCAAGAGUUCAUAUCGACGGCGGUGUUUGGCACCUCGAUGUCGGCUCAUCACAUCCUGGGGCUGAAGUAGGUCCCAAGGGUAUGGCUGUUCGCCAUUUAAAGUGGUACGCGAGCUGGGUUUAGAACGUCGUGAGACAGUUCGGUCCCUAUCUGCCGUGGGCGCUGGAGAACUGAGGGGGGCUGCUCCUAGUACGAGAGGACCGGAGUGGACGCAUCACUGGUGUUCGGGUUGUCAUGCCAAUGGCACUGCCCGGUAGCUAAAUGCGGAAGAGAUAAGUGCUGAAAGCAUCUAAGCACGAAACUUGCCCCGAGAUGAGUUCUCCCUGAGACUUUAGGUCUCCUGAAGGAACGUUGAAGACGACGACGUUGAUAGGCCGGGUGUGUAAGCGCAGCGAUGCGUUGAGCUAACCGGUACUAAUGAACCGUGAGGCUUAACCUUACAACGCCGAAG
Molecule: ribosomal RNA, 582 nt
Filed under: Salmonella enterica subsp. enterica serovar Newport str. L0167
Lineage: Bacteria; Pseudomonadati; Pseudomonadota; Gammaproteobacteria; Enterobacterales; Enterobacteriaceae
Description: bacterial LSU rRNA
Rfam family: Bacterial large subunit ribosomal RNA
Source: RNAcentral